Molecule: transfer RNA, 67 nt
Filed under: Condylostylus luteicoxa
Lineage: Eukaryota; Metazoa; Arthropoda; Insecta; Diptera; Dolichopodidae
Description: tRNA-Glu
Rfam family: tRNA
About the family: Transfer RNA (tRNA) molecules are approximately 80 nucleotides in length. Their secondary structure includes four short double-helical elements and three loops (D, anti-codon, and T loops).
Source: RNAcentral
AUUUAUAUAGUUUAAUUUUAAAACAUUACAUUUUCAUUGUAAAAAUAAAGAAAGUCCUUUAUAAAUU